AGGCUUAGUUGAGUUGAGUUGAUGCACCUUGGAGGCCAUAAUUAAAGACAUAAUUGGUAUACGUUUUUGGAAAAGCCAUCAACUAGUUAUAGUCAUGCCAAACUAGGAUUAGGAAAGAAAAUUUGGAGUCCUACACCCUGACAUUUUAGCAUGAAGUGAAUACUCCCAAGAUUUAAACACCACCCUUGCGGUUUUAAGCCCAGGCCUUGUGAUUACAACAAGCAAUUGCCCUUGAAACAACAUUACUCAAGUAUGAUCUCACCAAUGUAAGUCUUGAAAUGAAAGAAAUAUAGCUUUUACCUGCUGGUAUUUUCUAAUGAAAUAACAGCUCUUGAGACUCAAAAUUUGCAUACUUGUGCUCACAGCUUGCACCAAGCAUGGUCUUAAUAUUUAGCUUCGUGAAAGAAUCAUUAAUAUUUAUAUUACUUGCCAAUCAUAUUUGUCAAAAUUCUAUUGCUCUUUAUAUCAAUAUUUAGCUUCAAACUUCAAAUGUUUGAAUGUUAUUCUCUUAAGUAAUAAUGUUAUUCUCAUAAGUAAUUUCAGGAAUCUGCUUUGGAACUUUACAAUCUACAAUUUGUAUAUUGAAAUCUUCCAGUUUACUGCAGUAAAAGUCCAGCUCUAUUUUCAACGCAUAAACUUUCAGUAAGACGGAUAUGGAUUUAAACAGUUGCUUUCAUGACCAAGA
Molecule: unclassified non-coding RNA, 685 nt
Filed under: Hevea brasiliensis (rubber tree)
Lineage: Eukaryota; Viridiplantae; Streptophyta; Magnoliopsida; Malpighiales; Euphorbiaceae
Source: RNAcentral